This 273-nucleotide long non-coding RNA is filed under the name Vigna radiata. RNAcentral describes it as "long non-coding RNA (VRAD_LNC007185)". The record is from RNAcentral. Lineage: Eukaryota; Viridiplantae; Streptophyta; Magnoliopsida; Fabales; Fabaceae.
AUAUAACAGGGAUUAGAAUAUGAGUGUGUGAUGUUGGAGAGAGAAGGGGAAAGUGACAAAAUAGGAAGCUUACGUGUGUAUUGGGGGUCUCAUACAGACUCUCUUUUUGAAAGUUUAUUAAGGAGGGCUAUUACAGACAAUCCCUGCUCAACAUCAAGCAAGAGAAGAGAUUUAUGAUUUAUGUCGCACUAUACUAAUUAGAUUCACUAUCCUCACAAUAAAAAUUGUUGGAAAACUUGUGCUUCCAAAUCAGUACUGUAUUGUUCAUAUCAC